CUCCUGGAAAUGCCCCCUGACGCAGACCCAGUUGUUGGGUAGCCACCCAUGCACGUUGACACAGCCAGCACCGAGCACCCAGGGGGAUGGAACCAGGAAUGGAGGAUGGUCCAAUAGGGUAGCAUCAUGAAGGCAGUUUACCCCUGAAACUUUUUACAAAGGACCAUCAUCGUCAGAGAAGUUCCUUUAACCCUUUAUCUCCCAUAGCGGCCGUGAACGCCCGGCCACCUCUCUCCCAUAACGCCCGCCGACACCCGGAGUAUUUUCAUAGCUGAACAGAAGUCAUCAUGCAGUUUCUACAGCUUUCACUUUAGAUCACUAUUACAGACUCUCAAUAUAUUUUUAUUAUAAAAACUAUUUUGGGAAAUCCUGAACUACAGUGCAAAGUGGCUGAGCUCAAAAGUACGGGCUCGCUGCUGCUGCCCAGUAGAAAAUAUCUUUUAAAUGCAGUACAGUUCCUAAUUGUGCGUUCAUGUGGUAAUUACGUAAAUACCAAACACUGACAUCCGAAGCACACAUGAACGCCACCGGCCCUUGUAGAAAUUUUUGAUUAAUGAAUGCACUACAUCUCUUCUCUUGCCUUCCUCUCUUCUCCACAAGCUCUCCCCUCAUCUAAUCUC
Long non-coding RNA from Engraulis encrasicolus (European anchovy), 620 nucleotides. RefSeq lists it as uncharacterized. The transcript has 3 exons. The record is from RefSeq and is a predicted model, not a curated record. NCBI's taxonomy places the organism in Eukaryota, Metazoa, Chordata, Actinopteri, Clupeiformes, Engraulidae.